RNAcentral lists this ribosomal RNA (1384 nucleotides) under Lactiplantibacillus pentosus. Its description in RNAcentral is "Lactobacillus pentosus 16S ribosomal RNA". It matches the Rfam family "Bacterial small subunit ribosomal RNA", at positions 93 to 1463 of the family's 1533-position model. Lineage: Bacteria; Bacillati; Bacillota; Bacilli; Lactobacillales; Lactobacillaceae. The record is from RNAcentral.
GAGUGGCGAACUGGUGAGUAACACGUGGGAAACCUGCCCAGAAGCGGGGGAUAACACCUGGAAACAGAUGCUAAUACCGCAUAACAACUUGGACCGCAUGGUCCGAGUUUGAAAGAUGGCUUCGGCUAUCACUUUUGGAUGGUCCCGCGGCGUAUUAGCUAGAUGGUGGGGUAACGGCUCACCAUGGCAAUGAUACGUAGCCGACCUGAGAGGGUAAUCGGCCACAUUGGGACUGAGACACGGCCCAAACUCCUACGGGAGGCAGCAGUAGGGAAUCUUCCACAAUGGACGAAAGUCUGAUGGAGCAACGCCGCGUGAGUGAAGAAGGGUUUCGGCUCGUAAAACUCUGUUGUUAAAGAAGAACAUAUCUGAGAGUAACUGUUCAGGUAUUGACGGUAUUUAACCAGAAAGCCACGGCUAACUACGUGCCAGCAGCCGCGGUAAUACGUAGGUGGCAAGCGUUGUCCGGAUUUAUUGGGCGUAAAGCGAGCGCAGGCGGUUUUUUAAGUCUGAUGUGAAAGCCUUCGGCUCAACCGAAGAAGUGCAUCGGAAACUGGGAAACUUGAGUGCAGAAGAGGACAGUGGAACUCCAUGUGUAGCGGUGAAAUGCGUAGAUAUAUGGAAGAACACCAGUGGCGAAGGCGGCUGUCUGGUCUGUAACUGACGCUGAGGCUCGAAAGUAUGGGUAGCAAACAGGAUUAGAUACCCUGGUAGUCCAUACCGUAAACGAUGAAUGCUAAGUGUUGGAGGGUUUCCGCCCUUCAGUGCUGCAGCUAACGCAUUAAGCAUUCCGCCUGGGGAGUACGGCCGCAAGGCUGAAACUCAAAGGAAUUGACGGGGGCCCGCACAAGCGGUGGAGCAUGUGGUUUAAUUCGAAGCUACGCGAAGAACCUUACCAGGUCUUGACAUACUAUGCAAAUCUAAGAGAUUAGACGUUCCCUUCGGGGACAUGGAUACAGGUGGUGCAUGGUUGUCGUCAGCUCGUGUCGUGAGAUGUUGGGUUAAGUCCCGCAACGAGCGCAACCCUUAUUAUCAGUUGCCAGCAUUAAGUUGGGCACUCUGGUGAGACUGCCGGUGACAAACCGGAGGAAGGUGGGGAUGACGUCAAAUCAUCAUGCCCCUUAUGACCUGGGCUACACACGUGCUACAAUGGAUGGUACAACGAGUUGCGAACUCGCGAGAGUAAGCUAAUCUCUUAAAGCCAUUCUCAGUUCGGAUUGUAGGCUGCAACUCGCCUACAUGAAGUCGGAAUCGCUAGUAAUCGCGGAUCAGCAUGCCGCGGUGAAUACGUUCCCGGGCCUUGUACACACCGCCCGUCACACCAUGAGAGUUUGUAACACCCAAAGUCGGUGGGGUAACCUUUUAGGAACCAGCCGCCUAAGGU